Long non-coding RNA from Centrocercus urophasianus (Greater sage-grouse), 1190 nucleotides. RefSeq lists it as uncharacterized. The transcript is spliced from 4 exons. NCBI's taxonomy places the organism in Eukaryota, Metazoa, Chordata, Aves, Galliformes, Phasianidae. The record is from RefSeq and is a predicted model, not a curated record.
UAAAAAGAGCUGGUGAGAGUUUCUUACAUUUUAUCUUAAGUACUCAAGUUUCCAUGGGACAAAGUAAUGCUUCCAGAAGAGGAGGGGAGCGUGCAGCUGAUGCUUAAGGUUCGGGAGGUCCUGCCAACGCCUUGUGGAGAGCUCUGGCCAGUUCUGUCUCUUUGCUUUCCUGCUAGGAAGGCCAAGAGCAUCUGGCUCCACUGACACACGAUUAAGAGAGCUAUCAUUUACAUGAAAACCAGAAGCCAGGGAAGCAGAUGCAGCACGAAGGAGCAUACGUGUGACAAAUCUCGCGUCUGAAUUAAAGAGCAGUUCCUGGACUUGAAAUGCAAUGGCAGGCUGGAAAUAAAGGAAAUCUUCCAUUUGCCUUGGAUACUGAUCUUCAGAACUGGACCAGAUCAGCUGUAGUGCUCUCUCAAUGGUAGAAGCCUGAGGAUGGUUGAAAGGAAAGGAUGUACCACAGCAAUCUGUCAUCAGUGCAACUUCCAGCAAUCUUUGUAGUUAACAGACCGUAGUGGAUUUUUUUUCUCCUCAUGAAUUUACCUAAUCACUUUCUAAAUCCUGUUUCAUGCAAUACUGUGAGAAUAAUCAUCUAAUUUUGGUCUCUAAGACAAGAAAUACAAAAACAAUAGGAGGCCCAGGAAAGAAUGAAAUUUUGCCAACCGAUAUUACAAAAACAGGCAACAAUUACAGCAUAUUGACGAAGAAAUUUACUAAAACCACUCAUAAAAUAACCCAGCAUUUCCUGCUGUGAAAAUGAAUUUGUUAUUUAGACCACAUCACUGUUUUUGAAAAAUCACCACCUGUAAUUGCUUUUCUAAGCUUGUGACAAGGGCAUUUCUCUUUUGGUGUCAUGAUGUCAAAUUAAAAGUGUGCCUUUUCAACUGGUAACACUGUCUAGGGUUAAAUAACAAAUCUUCCCAAACUCUUUACUCAAAGAUUUUUGCAUCAGUUAUAAAUGAGAAGAAAAAAAGACAAAUGUUUCUAGGAUGUCACCAGUCUUUGCCUAGCAGUGAGAAAUUCACUGUGAAGUUAUGCUUCUUGUUCUCUACUACAAAACCAACUUUUACGUAUUUUGCAAUCCUCGUCCACUAUUUCUGCUGUAAUCUCUUGCAAAAUGUUGAAAAUUUAAAGCUCUACACUCACAUGUUUAUUGCCCUACAAUCUGAUUUACCAAAUAAAAGAAUAUG